UGUUUUAGCAAAAACACAGGGAGGCAAAGUGCAAUCCAAAAGUGAGUUACAAUUAAUCAGCUGAAUAUCAUACUGAGCACUAUUUGACCACAUUAAGCACAUCAAAUACAAAGCACUUACAAUGGGCUCUUCACACCAAGCCAGUAUUCAGCGUAUGCUGUGUCAGACGUGUUUUGUCACCAUAAUCAUACAGGCUUUCCCACACCAGGUGCCAGAGCAUGAGCCACAAAGGGCAGAGCCUCUCCAAAACGCUUUGAUGUCCUGUCCCUCGCAGGAAGGUGGGGCUGCAUUGUACAGAAAUGCAAACAGCGCCAUUUCUGCGAAUUCUAGGUACUUCGAAUUUCAUUACAGUUUUUAUUUGUUUUGUUAAAGGUUCGUUAAUGGGAGAAAUAGUGGAGAAUCACAGGGAGCCGAGUGGACACCAGUUCCGGGGAAGGUUAGGGCAAUAGGCGAGCGGACAGAAGCGGCGCUUCAGCCCGGUGCGGCUGGUCCGUGUCCGCACGCUGCCCAGUGGGUGGUGCUGCGGGCAAAGGCUGCUUGGAAGCGCAGCCCGACGAGCCGCAUCCCCGCGCCCCCGGCUCCAAGCUGCAGGGCCGGCCGGCACCGGGGAGCCGCGGCUGCUGCGCUCCGAAGGGUUAAAAGCCGUCGAGCCCCAUGCGUGGGAGGGGUCGGGGCAGUGUGGGGAGAAAUGCAGAAAAAGUAGGUCAGCUGCGCCCAGCGGCGGAGCGGAACGGAACGGAAUGGAACGGAACGGAACGACAAGGGAAGGGAUGGGAUGGGACGGGUCAGGGCGGGCAGGGGGCUCUCCCUUGCCGGGGUCUGCCGGCGCUCCCGUCCUGACUCCAGGCGUCUGCAUUUGCUCCCAGCCAUUGGCAGUUGGACAUCUCAGCGAGCAUUACAAACCUAUAGCUGCUGCUAGGCAUCUGUUGUCUCCACCUGAUGAGGGGCAGUGGCAAGGUUGGUCUUGAUAAAAGGUGGUUCGCAUAAGGACUGUACACCUACCAGUCAUAAGCAUGCAGUCCCAAGUAACGUUUUCCAAAAAAGUCUUUCUCAAGACAGAGUCACCAUGUUGCAAUGGGAAGAUUUUAUGAGCUGGUUGCAAAAAUUCAUUUGUACUUUUUGGGUGGGAGGUGAAUUUUGAAACUGAAUUUUUACAAAGCUCAAGAGCUCUAGCAAGACUUCUGCAUCAUGUUCAGAGCUUCCUUGGGAAAUCCAGUAUCUUCAAACAUUGCUUCUAUGUCAAGGCAUACACCUACAGACCUGCUCACUAAUACACCAGGCACACCAGUAACAUGACCUGUUUUUCUUUUGUGGCCACUUACAACUCCAGUGAGAGCAAAAUAUAUGUGCGAAUCGGUCACGCGUUAAGUAACGUCACUAUCAUCUGUCACGUGUUUGUUCACUUAUCUGUUCCCCAAGGAGAGGAGUGUUUGUUUUGAGGUUUUACAUGGCUCUAAACAUUUAUUCCAGUAAUGUCAAGGUCAAAGAAAGGUGUUCUUCACUUGCAGUAGGAGCUGGUGUAAUCUGAGAUAAGGUCCCAGAGGAAAGGAAGCCUACUUCACAGUCACGGCUUGGCCAUCAAAAACAAAUGCAUUCUGCACAGACACACAUCACCCUCCAUCUGGAGGGCUACCUCAUGUUAGAAGAACAUCUCUGUCAACCCUCAUGCUAUAACCCAGUUCUUCAUAUAGUCUGAAAUGAACUGUCAUAUCAAUUCCCUCUUUCCUUGGCAUGGUAGCAUUAGAAGCAAACUCUGUUCUGUUCAAAACAAGGCCACAAGUACUAGAAUCACAGCUUUUUCAGUAAUAUUUUAAUCAAAAUUAUUAGUACUUUCUUACUUUUUGCUGAGCAAAGGGAAAAUUCAGCUUAUUUGUUGUUUUGAUUUUGUUUGUUUGUUUUUUUAACUUAAGCUACAAAUUCAUUAAAGGAAAUUAAUACCUCACAGGAUACAAAAGAACACAAAAGACCACAUGUGUUUGUUGUUACUGUUCUCCAGACUUCUUUUCCUUUAUUGCAUUCUUAAUCACCCAUUACUGCUUUUUCACCUGCUGCAAGCUAUAAGCAAGAGGGUAGCAAAUACAUGGCAACACAUGUAACAAUACAUUUAAAGUGUGCUAUUCUUUCCUGUUCCAAGGUUUUAGAAGUAACUUUAAUGCACAUGCCUCCAAAAUGCAGCAAGAAAACCAAAAUAACUGUCUUCUUACAAAAGAAGAAAAAAAAAAGAAAAAAGAGAAAAGAUCUUCAGCUGAGACACUUUUCAUUUAGCCAUGCUUAAAUAUCAGAGAAUUAAUACUGCCUACAAACAACAAAAGGGUCACACGCUCAUCAUGAACUAAAAAAUUAACAUCUAGCAAUGCAAAAAUGCAAAUGUUUGAAAAAAGAUUUUGUCCAAACAAUGCAAGGAUUAUGAGGAAAGAAAUAAGUAUGCCCAUUGAAGGGAAAUGGCAUCCUACGCAGUGUGCAAUCAUUGGAUAUACUAGAGAAGUAUCUCCUAAAUAAUGAAGAAGGGGGAAUUAGUUGGAGUUCCUAUUCAUUGCUGAGUAAAACUUUUCACUAUUUUUUCAUCAAUGCAAACUCAUGUUUAGGAAGACAGGAUAGUGUAUGACAAAUAUUCCCUCUCCCUGCUGUUGAGCGCCUCACUGUACCAAUUCAGGUGGGGAGACUUCCCCUGUUUAAAAUGUCUUUUCUAUCCAUUUGCCUGCUGAGGAUAAUCAGAGUGUUUAAGCAUGGUGCAUAGCCUCCACUCCUGGGGACAGGGAGGGGCUGACCAACGCCAAUGUGGCUAACAUUAUUUAGUGGAUUUAUAAGUAGGAUUCCUUGGACUCACUGCUACUCACUAUAUAUUUUAAAACUUCAAAGAUGGAAAUGUACAAAGCUGAGAAUGGACAUGGAGUACACCCAGUCUUAUCACUGAAAUCAUUGUGUGUCAGUUAUCAUGUCCAUACUAAUAAAGUUAGCCAGACAGCUCUUCUACCUGCACCUGGAGGGCACAGAUUGCUGGGGUAGCUCUCUUGGGUUACUCCUAGUGGGAAGAAAUGUGUGGGAAGCCCUGGUUUUGUGUAGGGAUGAAGACUAUAGAUAUGGAAUACAGUAGUGAAGACUAUGGAAGUCAUUACAAUCAGUUGGCAGAGAGGUCAUUUUAAUUUAUAGUGAAAUCUAAGAGGAAGUCUGAUGCGUUUAUGUACUCACAGGCAGCCUUUUUCUCUGCCCAAGUGGCUGCAGCAUGCUUUGUUUCUUAGCAGCAUGUUCAGGAAGAAUCAAAGGGUGGGAGAGUGAGCUGGAGAACACCUAGGCAAUGGUCAGUGGAAGUGGAAUGUAAAUAUGGAAGGCAAACAAUGCCACCCCUCACAGUCAGAUAUCAGACCCAUGAGCAGCUAUUAGCCCUCAGAAUGAGCACUGCCUGAGAUAGUCAGUGCACAGUCAAACCAUAUUUUACCAGCUGAAAGAGGAAGAAAGGAGAAUUUUGUACACUUUCUACUUCUUCAUCCUGUUUCCUCAGAUAUGCAGGAGUUAACGAGAGAAAAGGAUCAUUAUAAGAUAGUCUUUGACCCACAAUAUAGAAUAAUUGCCCUGUUAGUUACAGUUGCAACUGGAUUCUUCGGUACACUGUGUGGGGUAGAGAUGACUAAAAUGUGUGCCUUCAGUCAUUUGUUGACUAACACAGUCUUUGUGGUCAACUCAUGCACGUUCCACUGCAAAUGCUUUUGAUAAUGCAGCUAUAAAGGCUUGUGAAUGUCAGUGUAGGAGGGCAAAAUAUUUUGAGCUGCUCAGCUUCACUUUAUAAAUAUUUUUGGAAGCCACCAGUGUGAAAUGCUCCAUUCACAUUCAGCACUGAAAAAAAUAAUGGCUUCUUCUAAAACAAAGACACAUCUGUCAGUGCAGUAGAGUAUAUGAAUUUACAUAAUCUGCAGCACAGAAAAAGUACUUUCUCAAACAAAUUAAGUCAAAGCAGGCAGAGAAAGAACAGCAUGAAGCUCUCUAUGCAAUGUCAACAAUAAUUAACAGAGUACUUUAUAGUCUGCCAGUGCUUCCCGUGAAUAAGGUACUCUCAGGCAUUUGGUAUGAACAGGCUGCCGUCCUGUUUCUCUGCUGCAACCCAAAGCUGCAAGUCUUCACUUUUACUGGCUAGCCUAUCAUUAACUUUUAAAUAUUGUAUGCCACCCAACAUUUCCCCUUAGAAGGACAAAGGACAGAGGGCAUGAAGUUUCUGUUGCAACCGCUGCGGGAAUUCAUGGGGUUUGCUUUGCCGUGUCAUACUGGGAAAUUCAGGGAAUUUACUUCUUUCUCAGAUGCGUCAAAAAAAAUUAAAAAGAAAAAAACCAAAAAACAAACAAACAAACCUAAACAUGUGUCACCUUGCACAGAACUUGUUAAUCCCUUUAUUCCUCACUUUUCCUGUUGAUACCUUGGGAGAAGGCAGCUUUCUUGUUUCCCUCACAUACACAUGAAACAUUUGGAAGUUUUCUUCAACUCCUACUGAUUCUCCAGGGAUGUAGACUGCAGACAUUUUGAAUCAUGGAGUCUCUUCUCUUAGGCUGCCUGUGCAUAAAAUGCAGAACUGAUGUGAGGCUGCUUUUGUGCACAGAAUAGUAUUGUAUUGCUGCUGUACCUCUGAUUUAAUCACACUUCCUUUUCAUGUACUUGCAGAUUAAAUUUCCAGUAUUGCCACAGAAUGGGACACUCCUGACAUCUUUCUCUUUUUGCAAACGGUAAAACUGCAGCCUUGCCUAAAGCAGAGAGAUUUCCACAAGUUUUUUCCUUAUAGACUAAUUUUGACUGAUUUCUUCCACGUGUAAGAGUGCUCAGAAGGUUGUCAGGGAGACAACUGUUGACACAGCUUUACCCUGGUAUUUGAAGGGCUUGGGCAGUUGAGUGCUUUUCAGCAGAUUGUGCAUUCGUGCAGAUGCAAGCACACUGGCAGACUGCAGACCUGACUUACUCAUUUGCUGGUCUGAGCUCACGAGCAAGCACUACCUCCAAACAAGAGCUGUAAGAGGAGGUCAGCAUACCUCAGCUAGUGAUAUUUGAACUGGGUUGAGCAACAGAAAAAAACUGGUGACCAAAAGUCAAGUACAGUCAGUGUGAGACACAGGACUUAUUUGGAAGGUUGGUCUGCACUGUGUACAUUGCUGCUAGUAGCUCAGCUGGUUGUUUAAACUCAUCCAGACCAAUAUAAAACACUGUAAUAAUGCUUCUGUGAUGCCAGCAUCCUUUGUAAAGUACAGCCCUGAGUCCAGAAAUUCCCAUCAGCCUGCAGUCUGUGUCAUUGCCUCCAGCUCCUCUGUGGAUCUCAGUGCUUUCUUCCUUUCCUUCCUGCAAGCUGUGACCAAAAUGAAAUCAAAACCAGCCAUCACGUUCCCUGAAUUGGUGUAAAGGUUGAAAACAAGUAUAAUGAAGUUUGCACUGACUGUGGCUAAUUAGCAAUCAUUUAUGAUUAAGCCAUAUAAAAUGUUUGUUAUUAGUGAAAGAGCUGAAUGCUUCAGUACACAGCAAAGGUCCAGGGCACAGAGAAGUUAAGUGACUUACUCAGUUUGAUGCAGCAAUUCAGUGACAUAGGUAGAAAUAGGCCACUCAGUUUUCUCUCUCAAAACAGGUCUAAUCUCUAGAUCAUGCUUUGAUCUCCCUUUAGCAGCAGAAAAUAAAACCCCUCUGUUCACAGUAUAAGUCUUUACAGAAAUUACUUUCACGUUACAGACUCACCAUUAUCACGUCUCUGCAAGAUCAAACAAAGAGAGGGGCAGUAGGAGAGGAAAAGGAGGGUUACUUUGUGUCAUCUACUUCUACAGUCUGCUCAGCAAAGCCAAAGAGGAAAAACAAUUUUUUUUUCAGACAGAUGUCUUUUACAGCACAUCAAACACUUCUCAUGGGCGUAUGUCAGAGACAUUUUACUACAAAGGCUUUGUCCUUUGCAUUCACAGCAGCCCGGAUGUUUAUCAGGAUUUUCCAUUCCCUAAAUUCAAGAUCACAUUGGGAUCUGUGUUAAGUUGGCAGCAGUACAUCAAUAAAGUGUAAAAUACAAAAUUCUUAGCAAAAAGAAAGCACUAACACAAAUUGUUCCUGCACUAAGGCUGUGGUGGGGGAGUUCCUGUCAUCUCUAAAGGAAUGUCUGGAGCAGGAAACAGACUAUUUUCAAUGCACUGGCUUGGAGAAAGUCAGUAUGAGAGAAUGAUUGUCUUUCCUAAUAGAUUUACUUAUAGUAAAUGUUGAAGUGCUCUGUGCAAAGCAUGUAGCCAUAAUAUCAUGAAGACAACAUCCCAUUAUUUACUAUAUAACAUCUCAUAUACACAUUGUACUCUCUGUUUUGUUUAUUCAUAAGGGCAGUUUGUAAUAUUUGAAGUCAUCUGGCACAACAAAGAGCAUUACACACAGAGACAAACCAAAUUUAAUAUUGCUACAUACUCUUCCUCUCUUAGGCCAGGACCCAACAGCAUCUUGUGUUUCCUCUCUCCUCACCCCAUGCUUAUGGUAUGCAUGGUGUAUAAUCUCAGUCCACAGAUUACUACAGGAUCCUUCAAAAAACUCUUGUAUCCUUCCUUGGUGAGGUGUUCUUCUUUCUAGGAACAAAGCAGGUCACUGAGUGUUGCUUUAAGGCAGUACUCCCAGCCUCUCUGCCAGUAGAACAGCACAGUAGAGCAUGGUGCAUGCUCCCCCAGCAAGCUGAUCUGCUCCACUCCCUGGAAAUUUGAAUCACCAAGGCACAUCAGCAACAGUAGAAGCACCUACCCCCAAACCCAAUACUUUAUUCUUUUCACUUGGGAUGACACUGAGCUUCCACGAGACAUUCUGUUCCCUGGCACAACCAUGGAUUGAAAUGCUUCAUUGAAAUUGAAAGGAAAUUUCAUUGUAAGCCAGAAGGACAGCAUUCUCCAACACUUAGUGCAGAAAAAGACGAUAGGCAGAAAUAGCAGAGAUGUCUGAGGUCCCUUUUGCUUCUGUUUGGAGUAUAAACAAUCUCACAAUUCUUCUCUAUGCCAAUUCUCUUGUAGGUUGAAGUAACUGUUUUCCCGUUUUAGUGAUCCUAGUUUCUCAAGAAGGUAAGACAUCAGGUAAUCCUAUACUUUACUGUCUGCCUACCAGCAGUGCUACUGUGUAGUCUCACACAGCAUUUGUGCACUGCCCUUGCAUUCACCAGCAAGAAACGAACACAUCCCUCCAUCAGGCUCCAGCAAAUGUGUUUCUGCAGAGAAGGGAACUCAUGUCUGUUACUGGUAGCAGCAACUCCUUCCCCAGUGAGUCUGAACAGCCUCUCUCUCCAGGUUAAACCAAAUGGCUUUUGUUGUCUCUCAGAGAUGUGAGUGAAUGGAUGUGACGCCCCAAAACUCCUACCUCUCAGAUCAUAUACUACUUAUGUGAAAACAGUGGGUAAGCUUCUGGCAGCUCUUCCUGUUUAAAAUGGACUGGGGAAAAGCAGCAUGUAAUUUUUUGGCAGCAACACUGGAACAGUAAAACUAAUGAGUCCCCACAGCUAUUCCCACCUGUUCUUACAGCAAUAUUAUAUCGGAUAUAUACCCAUCCAUGAGUCUAUCUGUGAUGUUAGCUCAAACUAUAAAAAACCUCCAAAAACAAUCCACCCAGACCCCAGAGGUCUUUUCCUGCAUAGGAAAAAGGGUAUAAAACAGCAUGUGGAAAUUUCACCUGUUUUCACAUCUCACUUAAGUUGUGUCUGAACUCCUUCCAUGGAAGGGACUCAAAGCAAGACAGAUGUGUAUUAACCCAAAAGUGAUACUGACCAGAGAUAUUGUAACACCUGAAUAUGGAGCAAGAUGAGGGUGAGUCAGCAGAAGAUGUUUGUCUUCUAUGCGGAGUCCGAAAAUUUGGCUGUCUCUAGCAGGAAAUUACACUAAUACUGAAUCACAGUUCUGUAUGCAUCAUCAUCAUGUACAGAUGUUUUCCAUGGUGAGGAAGUUGUUGUUAGGUAAGUUUUAAAAUUUUACUCAAUAAUUUUAUUUCAAAAUGUGUCCUAGAGCAUCCAGUUUUCCUUGUGCAUGAAAUUGUCUGCAGUAUUUAUGAUUUAUGAUUCUCUUCAGUAAAAACUCUGACCAAGACACUCCAGGGAUAGAUACAACAACCCUUCCAUAUUCUACCUGAAAGAGACAAAUAGUUUGCAACUAAUCUCCAAAAAAAAAAAAAAAAACCACAGAAAAGAAGAUUAAAGAACUGAAAAGGAUCAGUGGAAUGCUCAUAAAAUGUAGAAUUAUCUCAUGACAAAUGCACUAGGAUUGCCUGAGAUUUUCCUGAGAUAUCUUUAAUUUUUUUCCAUAUGAUUUUUUUUUUGUUAGUGGAUGUAUCCUCAGAAGGAAUAUACUAAUUUAAAAAUGCUUCCAUUGUGAUUAGAAUAGGCAAGCUUUCUGUGCUCCAGAAAUUUUUUAAAAAGUCUUGGAAAACAACUUUAAAAAGUUCCAAAGAUUCUAGAGGUUGACAGGGAGUUAAUUCAACUUAUCUGUAGCAAAACAUGUUUAAAAUUUAUUUCUUUUAAUAGCUAUUAUGUUGACAGUGCAGUAAAGAGUUAUGCUGAUAAUAGAAAAAUCAUCCCUUUUGCAAAUAAUAACAGUAAUGAGGCAUUAUAGUACAAGGGGAAAAAGAAGAAAAGCAUUUCAUCCUGGAUACUCUUUCCCCUCAGAUAAUAUGGCCUUUGGCAAACUGUGAUGUUACAGGUCUUUAAAUAAUGAAGUUUCCAAACAAAAGAUUGUGUAAAAAAGAUUUGAAGAAGAUAUAUUUAUAAUUAAUGAUGGAGCUUGGAAGAAGUCCAACAAUGAAAGCAAUUCUUGUUUUCUAACCUGAAGUACAAGCUUUCUAUAAACAGACUGAAGAUUACCCCAGUAAAGAAGCAAAGUGAUGAAGUAAAACAGGGUAUACAUACCAUAUUUGAAAAUGUUUCAGGCUUUCAGAUAUCCUCAACCAAAAUGUAAGCUAUCUAUCACAGAUAGAUUUGGGAUGUAACAUCAGUGGAAGUCUAUGGAGACAACCUUGCAUCAAUACAGCCCCAAAUUAUCCUGCUUCCUUUCAUAGUUACUUCUGGGUGGAAACAGUUCUACUAUCUUUUCAGUAGCCCAUAAGUCCGCAUUGCACAGAGGGAAGCAGCUGAAUUGCAGUUGUUCUUUUAGUGUUUACUGUUUUGUUCUCCUGGUGUGUGCUGUUUUUAUACAUUCACUGCUAGUUCUCUGAUUAAGGCUUUAGCCUAAAUAUAGGGGGAAAGGGAAGGGGUGGUUUGGUCUUUGCAAAAGCCAAACCAAACCUGUUUCAGUUCCAGGUCCCAUUUUUUCUGAGCCCUGAAAGUUAAAAUCUGAAUGGCUUGGGUAAGUGCUUCUAAUUCUAGCCUACUCCUAUUUAAAACAAGAGGGAGGAUGUGUUUUUGAGAAGCUAAAAGUAGUAUGGCCUGGAAUGAAGUCUCUGAAGACAUUUAGGGAAGAUUCAGAUAAACAAUUCCAUUCCUCUCCCUACCCCUUGUAUCUGGCAUUAAUUUUUAUCCUAUCCCUUCCUUGCUUUCUAUCUCUUGGAUAUUGUUUGCUUUCCCUCAAUUUCCAAUGGAGCUUGAAAUUAGAUUUCUUUUACCACCUUGCUAGUGAACAAAGAUCUGAACGACACAUCCUGGUGAAAGCUAAUUCUCAGACUGAGUCACUGCGUUAUCUUCCACCUCUGUACCUGAACUGGCUGAAACCACACAAAAGAAAUGACUGUGUAGUUCUGUGUCCAACUCACACUGUCAUUAUUUGAUUGUUGAAAGGAUAACUCUGAGUUUAGCUGGACAGAAAUAGAACCAUCCAAUUGUAAUGGAUUUAGUCUCCAUUUAUGACAGCAGAAAUUGGGCCACACUGUUACUCAAGAUAGAAACAGCACUCAUUGUCACAAUUUAUAACUUCAUCAGGAGUUAACUUGGGAGCUGCAAGCUGGCAGCAAUAAUUCAUACAUUGCUGCAAACUGUAUUUUCAUAAUUUCUGUUGAUACUGGCAAAGUACUUGUUUUGGCUUUCUGCAUGUUGCAGUCAUUAGUAUAAUAUAACAUAGCCACUCAGAUAUAUUUAGGGGAAGGUCAUUUUUUAUACAAAUUAUUAUGUACUGGGAAGUUAAAUAAACAACCAAGUUAAAGAUAUCAACAGUCCCAAUUCUUGAUCCAUGCCAAAGGGAAUUUUAAAUACUAGUUGGUUCAAUUGGAGGAAAAGUCAAGCAGUGAUUAUGUCAGUUGGAAGAGAGAGGACAUUGCAUUUCCUUUUAUUUCAGACUCACCUGGAAUGCUACUCCUUGAAAAGGGCUAAAUACAUCUGUAAAGCAAGAAGUGCUCAAAGACAAGCUAGAACACACUUGGUCACUAUACCAUUAGCAAGAUUACUCAUCCUGUUCAUAAUAAUGAAAAUUCCUAUUGAGACUUCGCUGAGCAAAAAGUACAGUAUCCUGACUAUUUAUUAACAGCUCUUUGGAAUGCGUUUCCAAGGCACAAAAGGACACUGACCUUGAAAAUAGUAUUUGGGUGGAAGUAAAAGUCCACAGUAUUCAUUUUGCAAGUUUGUAGUUGUGAAAGUUACAAAACAAGUCACUUUUGAGAAGUACUCAUCUUUUACGCUCAUUAGAUUGCAAUCCAGCGAUGACUUAACAUGAUAUUUAAACAGUAGUGUUUUUGCCAAUGAGUUGCAUGAUCAACACGAACUGCUAAUGUUUUCUAUUCUAAACCUUCUCAAAAUGUCAAGUGUUCUUGUCAGCUGAGUGGAAGUGGCAUAAAAGUAACUUUUGAAGUUGUUGUUGAUGAGAUUCCCUUGGGAAACUCAGUAUAUAUACUGAAAUUAUAUUCACAAUAUUCUCUAAUCUCUCCUGCUGCAAAAGAUUUAGGCUCCAAACUCACAUUUCCAUUGAUGGUAAUGUAGCACAGUCUGGGUCUUUCUUCCAAAAACGACACUGAGCAUUCUUAAAUAACACAGGUCUUGUGUCCUGAAUUCUCUCAAGUGGCAAGAAAAUAAAAAACCUAAAUUUAAGAAAUUUGUUUUGAAAACCUAGACCUGAUAACUACCUCUGUUACAACCCUCAUAAUUCCAGUGCUGUUAUUUUUUAGGGGUUUUUCACACAGCAUAUCACCAGGAGAGCAGAAAAAUUCACAGUUGUCUAAGUCACACUGCUAUAGCAAAUUCGCAGAUUUCUUGAUUCCCAGUUUCUUCUGUGCCUUGGAACAUCAGACAAAGGUAAGGAAACUGAUGCAUUACCUAAGACCUGGUCUCACUCCCAUGGUUAUCAUGUGUGAACCUGUACAAGCCAUAUACAGAACUAUUUCGAAUAACAAACUGAGGCAGAACUUUGAUGUGCCUGUCCAGCCUCAGUCAGAUGGCUCCAGAGCUCUUUUGGCUCGUGUAGGGCACAGUUGCUCCUCCUUGAUUUCAGCCCAUUGCAGCGGGAAGAACCACAGACUUGUAGGGUUUUGGCCCAAAGCAGUGCUGAUGAUGUUUGUUACACCAUUUACAGCAAAAGCCAUGAAUUAAUUUGCUUCUAAAGUUCCAAAUAAGUCAAGAUCAUCACUGACACUGUAUUUCCAGUGCCAUGGGUUUCACAUGUUGCAGUUCAGGUGUUUCUUGGACUACCAAAAAAAAUUUUGUACUCAAAGUUUUUCCCAAAACUUUAGUUAGACAGGUGGAACUUUACGGACUACUAGCACAGGGACUGUACACUUGUGAUCAGUGUUUGGUACUUUAUUCACACAUCAGAAAGUCACAGAAUGGGUCAGGUCAGAAGAGACCACAGUGGGUCACCUGGUCCAACUUCCCAGCUCUAGAAGAGCCAUCCUAGAGCACGUGGCACAGGAUUGUGUCCAGAAGGUUCUUGAAUAUGUCUUUUCCUCAGAAGGUGCUGAAAUGCCCUAAAGUCUCUGUUCAUUUGUUGAAAAGCAGAUUGGUAUUUUAUUCUGCUGUUCCAUGCACAAGUGUCUGAUUGCAAUAAUAAAUAGUAUUUUGUAUAGGGGAACUCAGUUUUCAGUUUUAGCACACCACAACAACUACAGUGGUACAAAGCACAAGGGUUUAUAAAGAUGAGCAUUUGUAAAUGGCACUUUAUGGGUAAAGUGAAAAUAAGCAUAAAAAUCUAAAAGCAGGGUAGAAUUUGGUAUGUAUUUUUAUUAUUUGACUUUGUCUCUGCAUUUUUUCACUUGACCUGUAGCAAACAUUAUUUAGGAUAUCAGUUCUAUUAAAUAAACCUUUCAUAAUUUGAGUGCUUUCAAAUUGCUAACUGCUCAUUUGUGAUCAUUUAGUAACACUCAGUGAUGAUGUCUCUAUAACAAGUAAUUCAUGUCUAAACUGGCUUUCACAUUGCUGAAAUGUAAAAGUUCAAGCAUGCUGGUAGAACAAGUUGGCCUCCUAAGAACAUUUCAGGGUCAUUUCACACGUUCGAUCACAUCUGGUCUUGUAACUAUGACACUCCUGGAUCUAAAAGCCUGUUUUCACCCAGGUAAUAUACAGUACUGCAGCCUCAUUUGCAUUGUGUUCACAAACUUAGCAAGUGGGUUGAAAAAUGCACAGGGAUAUUCAGCAGAUAGGUUAACCCACAUCCAGAGAUAUCCAGAAUGUGGGUUAUGUACAGGUAGAAGAGGUGGAAGAGUACAGCUGCCACAUCCAGGUCAAUGAGAUGCAUCUGGGUUCUCAGCCCAUCUUUGCCUCAGCUGGCUUCCUCUGUAAACCAGACAACCGGGCCAGUUGGAGAUGCUGCUUAGCAGCUCACCCUGCAAGGAGGACACUUUCACUAUUAGCCUAAACUGCUCACACAGUCCUGACAGUUAUAAAGCCCAGCAUUUUGCAAUAUUGACUCACUGCCACGAAGUAUUAAAUUAAUCUUUAGAACAUGAGGUAAGAGCUUUCUUAGUUACUAACAAGGACCACAAACUCCUCAACAAACUACAGAGACAUAAAUGCAACAAAAAACAUCCUACCAGUAUGAAUUUUUAACCAAAACAUCAGAAGCCAGGGGACUGGUUAGAAGCAAGAGGCUACUGGUUUUUGUAUAAAGUAAUAAUGACUUUAAUGCUUAUAAUUUUCAGGUGAUUUAUUUAAUCUUUGCACACAUCCACAAUGAAGGAAGGCAAAACAAUUCUGUCUGUGCUACAUGGGGAUGACAAGGCAGCAAGAAUACAGAACCUGCCCAAGGCCAGCAUGAGGAGUGGAAUGCCUGGCUGCCAGCCCCAUUCUCAAAAUACAUAGUUCCUUUCUAGAGACAGCAGCUGUUUGUUCUCUAACACUUAUAGAGCAUCUAAGAUUAUUUCCAUUUAUGUUAAUAAUCUGCGCAGUCCAGUGAGAACAAAAUUGGGUCAUAGAUGUUUAAACUGGCCCAAUUUCACUGAAGACUCCUGGUAAACUCACGGUUACACACAACUCUGUAAUUAUCAGGUUCAGUUUGGGAAGCUGAGUGGUACAUGCAGAGGGCUGGGCCAGUAACACAAAAGCUGUGCACUCAGCUUUGUUCUGCCACAAGCAUGGUCAGUCUUUCGGCCAGGAAAAUUCCUGUAGCCUGAAAUUAAGCUGAGAGUUGCAUGCAUUCUGUGUAUCCUCCUAUGCCAUUGCUAGAGGUGUGUACCUUCUGCAAGGAAAAUCCAAGCAUUUCCCCAGCCUGUGACCAAUGCAGGCACCAGAGACAUAAAUGCACAAUAGCUUGGGCAAAAAGGCUUCCUCUAGGAUAUAUGAGCAUCCGUCUGCAUUUCGGUUGUGUGAUGGGCUUGUCCAUCCCAUGACAAAGGGAGCAUUGUGGGGCUCCAGGGAAAGUGGCUAAUAAGAGUGUAUAGCCAGGAGAAUUGUCCCGGCAAAGCAGGAUCCAGAUUUGAAGCCCAUCCCAGGUAGGAUGUCCUUGUUAUGCUCUAGUAUAUUUUUGAGACUUUGGGCAAAACAUAAGCAUUUAAACUUUUUUCCACAACAAAGCUGAGGAUAUUAUAUUUUUUUAAAUCCUAUAUUCACCAAAAUGUUAUCAUUUUUAAGCAGUAGAAUUGCAUUGAAGCUGGUGGACAAUACCUUGUGACUGCAAGAAAGACCUCAGUGCUUCUGACUUCCAUUGAGUUUCUGCAAAAGCUGGACACAGAAGCCAGGAGCCAUGAGCCAUUGACAUUUGUAUAUCAGGAACAGUAGCAUUUAAAUGAACAUGCUAAUAUCCAUUGAAGAAAUUUGUUCUUAUUACUUUUUAUUUUUGAGCAGUGGUAGGCAGAGUGAAAAUGGAUGUCAAUCUGACUGCUUAUUACAAACAUUGUCCUGCUUUUUGUACCAGAUUUGACCCUUACUAUAUGUCUAGAGGGCAUACUGAGACACUGUAGGCAUUUCACUGGGGCAAUCCUGAGCUGCUGCGUAGCACUCUGGACAUCCUUACUGUCACUGAAGAAAUGCAGGUACUAUGAAAUGAUAAUUAAGCCCACCUAAGAAUCCCAAACUGUGUCAAACAGCUAACACUGAGUCUUGUGUAAUAACCUACAAUUAGCAUGAAAUGCCCAAGGCAUUUGCACAUUGACAACAUGGUUUAAUCCAGUAAUAAAGUAGGUUAAAAUGAUUAUUAUUUUAGCUAAUAGUAUUUUUAACAGAAGUGAAAAUACAGAAAAGAAGCUACAGAAACAUAUUGACUUCAGUUGUGCCUCCCUGAGAAGUCUGUAUGGAUUUUGUUAUUUAUGGUCCAUUUUUUCAAAAAGGACCCAAGGCAAAUGUAGAAAUCCCUGGUUGUAUGAAAUGGAUGGAUGUGCAUCAAAAUGAGGGAUUUGCAUGUUUAACUGCCCAUAUUUGUAUCCUUCUAUCCAUUUUGCAUAUGCAAAGGCAAAGAUUGUUAUAUUUAUCAGUGCAUAAAUGAAAGGAGAAGAGAUAAAUGACCUGGUUUGCAGAGGUGCUGAGCACAUGCAGUUUCCAUUUAUUUCAACUGGAGUGUGAAAAACAGGCCCUAAGUGACUGGCUCAAGCUCACACAAUGCAUGAUUGUCAGUGCCAGGAAGAAAACCCAGAAAUCCUUCCAGUCUAAUCCUCCCAGUCUAAAUCCUCCCCAGUCUAAACUCUAGGCACAGUCUCUCCAAGAAAUAAAAGAAAAAAAAAAAUCUGUCGAAUAGCCUGACCGCACUCUUAUUCCUAUCUUAAUUUGCUAAGAGAAUAAAAAAAUGGGACAUGAAAAACUCCUGCAUAAUCUUUAAUGACUAGCAAAUAAUGCCAAGUAGGGCAAGUAAAUAUGUGUGAAGCAUUGCUCACACACCCAUCAACUUGCAUGUGUGUCACAGAUGGUUUUAGUGAAGAGCCAAAAAGAGAAGGAGAGAAAGGAAAAGGAAAACAAGUCCAGAUAAAGGGUAAGCUAGAAAGAGAGACAAAGAUAUUCUCUGUUAUUAAAAAAAAAAAAAAAAAAACCAAAAAAAACCAGUUAAAAAUGCUACAAAAACUAAUGAUGAAAAAAAAAUCACUAUUCCCUUUCCUUGAUAACGUGUGGGCUAAUCUCUACAUAAAUAGAAAUAACAGCCCUUUGAAAUGGCAAUGAUUUGCUUGGAAAACAUUCAUUAAAAACGUCCUGCAAUUAUUGACUCUAUCAUUAUUUCUUGGCAGCAGCUGAGUCUCACUGCAUCUUGUCUUGUUUCUCCAGUGAAAAGCAGAGCAUUGUUUGGGAAAAAACCUACAAAAACAGAAACAAAAACAGACCAAAAAAAAAACCCCACAAGGACAUUGUGUUUGAAAUAUGUGCUUGGUGACAUGGAGCUGAUUGCCCAAAGGAAUCAGGAUACAUAUAUUUGUAUUAUUGUACACGUGAGUAGCUUGAAUCAUGUACUGCUCGCUCUCUUUGUUUGGAUUAUGCAGCUUGGCUGGGCAUCCAUCCAAAAGAUUCACAUUAAAUUCUAGCUAUAUUCAGCACAAAAGUCAUCUAGCAUCAGAGGAUCAAAGUUACAUCAACCAACAAGCACUAAGGAAUUGAUAAGCCACUAAAAUUAGGUCAUCUCCUAGCAGCUGCUUUUGAUGGAUGAAGUAGAAUUUAGCCUCAGGUUUUCUAUUUAAAGAUCUGUUACAGCAUCUUUUCCUGCAGCUACAAUGAGAACACAACAAAGUAUAAUGCGUCUGAUUAAAUGUUUAAUCAUUACUCUUUACUCUUCUGAUUGUUUCUGCCGUGGCACAGAUUUACAGCAUGUACUAUUUGCAGCUUUCCUGGCCCUUUUAAAGCUGACAUUAAAACAGUAGGGAUUUUUAAUUCCUUAGUUGAAAAACCUAAUCAAUUAUUUUUUAAAAAUGUAAAUAAAAAAAUCUUUCAAAGCUGUUUAAUUGCCGCACUUAAAGAGACAGACUGUCAUUCACUGGAACUGAAAAUGGAUAUCUAAGCAAUUAUCCCACCACUGUGCCCUCUGGAAGAAUCACCACAUCACUAGGAACUAUAUGAAUACAAAAGUACGUAUCUGUGCAUAAGUACAUGGAAGGGGGGCUAAGGAAAUUCUUAUGUUUUUAUUAAUUUUAUUUGUGGCUACAUUGUGGUAAAUGAUCUCAUUAAUCUAAUUAACACAUACUUUUAAAAAAUACAAGCUAGUGCACUAGGCUAUCUUUGGUCAUUAGUGACUGGCAUUUUAAUUGCUGGAGUAUAACAUAUGCCCUACCAAGACUUCCUUGUGGUAUCAGGGUAAUACAAAUAGUGCCAUCACUCUCAUCAUUAGCAUCAGAACUGUGAAACAGCUUUAGAAGAGAGUUCAAAAGGAAAUAAACAAGAAAAACUGAAAUAAUUUCAAAUGCAUAGAACCUGCCCUUGACCUGUUCAGAAGGUCGGCUGGCUGCAGCCUCUGUAAAACACUGUUGUGUCAUCGUUUCACAAAUGAAGCUAAUGCAGGACUUCAUUGUCAGGGUUUUCAAUAUCACAUCUCUCAUGUCUGUUAAAAUCACUAGAAUCUUAUUUAAAUAAUCUUGAGAAAUGAAGGGAAAAGAAACAACAUCCAUCCAAUGUAAAAAAUGAAGUAAAUAGUCGUCUGCCUUUUCAAGUAAAAAAAUGAUAGGGAGAAAGACUGAAAAAUAUAGUAUAUGACAAUGCCACAUAAGACACAUAACUUUCCACAAAUGACAGACACGUGCAUGCUGCUCUAAAGCAGUGAUCCUCUGUGUUCCCUUCUGCCAGCCUUGUAAGUGGGCUGUUGCUGGGUAAGAGUCGUAAGAGGUUGAAACACGCUGUCGUUUCCAUUCCAAAUUUGGUGUGCCUGGUCUUUAUUGCUUGCGAAAGCAACAUUAUGCACUGUAAUUCAAAGUCUAGAUCUAGCUUUUUCCAGCUACAUACCUCUUCUUCAACAGAAAGCCCAAACUGGGGCGGGGGGGGGGGGGGG
This is a long non-coding RNA of Motacilla alba alba, 17255 nucleotides long. RefSeq lists it as uncharacterized. The transcript has 2 exons. NCBI's taxonomy places the organism in Eukaryota, Metazoa, Chordata, Aves, Passeriformes, Motacillidae. The record is from RefSeq and is a predicted model, not a curated record.